AGAGUUUGAUCAUGGCUCAGGAUGAACGCUAGCGGCAGGCUUAACACAUGCAAGUCGAGGGGUAACAGAGAGUGCUUGCACUCUGCUGACGACCGGCGCACGGGUGAGUAACGCGUAUGCAACCUACCUUUUACAGGGGAAUAGCCCAGAGAAAUUUGGAUUAAUACCCCAUAUUAUCUUUUUUUCGCAUGAAUUAGAGAUGAAAGUUUCGACGGUAAAAGAUGGGCAUGCGUCCUAUUAGUUUGUUGGUAAGGUAACGGCUUACCAAGACUUCGAUAGGUAGGGGCCCUGAGAGGGGGACCCCCCACACUGGUACUGAGACACGGGCCAGACUCCUACGGGAGGCAGCAGUGAGGAAUAUUGGACAAUGGAGGAAACUCUGAUCCAGCCAUGCCGCGUGCAGGAUGAAUGCCCUAUGGGUUGUAAACUGCUUUUAUACAGGAAGAAACAUUUCCACGUGUGGAAACUUGACGGUACUGUAAGAAUAAGGAUCGGCUAACUCCGUGCCAGCAGCCGCGGUAAUAC
RNAcentral lists this ribosomal RNA (525 nucleotides) under uncultured bacterium. Its description in RNAcentral is "bacterial SSU rRNA". It matches the Rfam family "Bacterial small subunit ribosomal RNA", at positions 8 to 526 of the family's 1533-position model. The record is from RNAcentral.